Long non-coding RNA from Macaca mulatta (Rhesus monkey), 2004 nucleotides. The record is from Ensembl. NCBI's taxonomy places the organism in Eukaryota, Metazoa, Chordata, Mammalia, Primates, Cercopithecidae.
AGCAUGUCCAGAAAACAAAGUUAUCAGAGUUCCUUUUUCUGGAUUGUUUGAAAGUUUUUACAAUGAACAUGAAUUAUAUAAUUAGAAAAGAAUAAAGUUAUUGCCACUGAGAAUAAACUAAAACCAAGAAAGCCAAUUAAGCCUUCAGAUUAGUUCAUACAUUCUUUUAUACCUAUUAUGUACCAGGCACUGUGCUGGAGAUGACAAAGAUACAGGCCCCAAUCUGUAGACAUUCAUACUAAUAGGUAAUUGUCCUAAGCUCUAUGAGUGCAUGUGUGGUGCUGUAUGAGCACAGAAGAAAGAAUUUUUGCCUGGGCUUAUAGAGGGCAGGGGACAGGAAUGAGGUCUCUGAAUCAGUGGCACUGGAGAGGGUCUUGAAGGCAGAGAGGUAAGGAAUACAGGCAAGAACUUGGGUCUCAUCAUGGAACAGUGAGACAGGCAGGGUCUCCAGGGAUUCCUGAACUUAACAAUCCCAUGAAGUUCUGGAAUCACCGAGGUCUGAGAACCAGAUGCAGUCCACAGACCUGUUUUGUUUGACCUGCAUUGUUUUACAGCUUGGACCACGUCUCAUAAAACUCCAGAUUCCUGGCUUCUUAAACAUCUGGCAAUACUGUCCCAAUUCCUUCCAGACCGUGAGCAGCUGGGACUGAGAGGCAACCACGCCCUUGGACCCAUCCCCCACGUCACUCCCUUAUCUUACGUCUGACCCCUAUAGGCAUUGAGUCAACGAUUCCUGAUUUCCUCCAGCCCAUCACCCUUGUACAGAUAAGGAAACUGAAACCCAGGGAGAUACGCAUCUCGUCCAAUGGCACCGCUGCGUUGUGACUGAGCCAGGAGUCUUUAGCCCAAACCAAGCCAGACUCAAAGCUGCUGCUUCUUCCCUUAUGUGAUCCCAGUUAAACUCCUGGCCUUGGCUCUCCAUGUAAAGAGAAAACAUAAUCCUAACCGUCUUCACAACUGAUGGGCAAUAUUUUCAUUGUGACUUUUCCUGCAGAGACAUGUAAAGAUAUCACUGAGAGCCAGAGCUGGCUGGCAGAAAAAGCAAGUCAGAUGGCAUCACCGUCCAAGGCCAGGUCUCUACUCCCUGCAAACCAAAACCAUCCUCAAGGACAAAUGGGCAUUUGCGUAAAUUCCUGUUGGACCAGUUUGACUUCAUCUCAGCUGCUGGAUCAAGUUUCUCUAUUUUGGGAAAAAAAAGAAAAGAAGAAGAAGAAAAGAAAAGGCCGCAGACAUAGAGAUUAAUUAGGAAGCUAUUGUAACAGUCCAUGUAAGCUAAGUCUCCACAGUGGCUGCACAGAGGUAAGAAGAGAAAAAGUUGUUUUGUUGUUGUUGUUUUGUUUUGUUUUGUUUUUGUUUUUGUUUUAGAGAUGGAGUCUUGCUCUGUCACCCAGGCUGGAGUGCAGUGGCGCGAUCUUGGCUCACUGCAAACUAUAUCUCCUGGGUUCAUGCCAUUCUCCUGCCUCAGCCUCCCGAGUAGCUGGGACUACAGGCACCCGCCACCAUGCCCAGCUGAUUUUUUGUAUUUUUAGUAGAGACGGGGUUUCACUGUGUUAGCCAGGAUGGUCUCGAUCUCCUGACCUCGUGAUCCACCCACCUCAGCCUCCCAAAGUGCUGAGAUCACAAGCAUGAGCCACCACGCCCAGCCAAGAGAAAAAGUUUAACAAAUAUUUCAAAUGCAGAAUAAAGAGGAGCUGAUGACUGAUUGGCUGGGCAGAGUUAAAUGGGAGGAACCAAUAAUUUAAAAACUACAAGUUGGAAUGACUAGGAAACUGGUCAUCCUUUUAAAUGAGAUGAGCAAGAGAAAACCAGGUCCAGGCAAGAAAGAAGCGAGAAACCAUGAUCCUAACCAGCACUUGUCAAGUCUCUGGUGCUCAUACACCAUGCUUAGUACUUUCUAAGUGUGAUUUCAUUAAAUUCAUCUAAGAACCCAAGAAAACUGAGACACAGGGAAACUAAGUCACUUGCCCAAGUACUUUUGUUGGAAGUACUAAUGUUGGAGGUACC